This 226-nucleotide ribosomal RNA is filed under the name Enterococcus faecium. RNAcentral's name for it is "partial 16S ribosomal RNA". It matches the Rfam family "Bacterial small subunit ribosomal RNA", at positions 1 to 211 of the family's 1533-position model. Lineage: Bacteria; Bacillati; Bacillota; Bacilli; Lactobacillales; Enterococcaceae. The record is from RNAcentral. RNAcentral also lists the same sequence under 1 other name.
UUUUAUGAGAGUUUGAUCCUGGCUCAGGACGAACGCUGGCGGCGUGCCUAAUACAUGCAAGUCGAACGCUUCUUUUUCCACCGGAGCUUGCUCCACCGGAAAAAGAGGAGUGGCGAACGGGUGAGUAACACGUGGGUAACCUGCCCAUCAGAAGGGGAUAACACUUGGAAACAGGUGCUAAUACCGUAUAACAAUCGAAACCGCAUGGUUUUGAUUUGAAAGGCGC